RNAcentral lists this ribosomal RNA (510 nucleotides) under uncultured bacterium. RNAcentral's name for it is "partial 16S ribosomal RNA". It matches the Rfam family "Bacterial small subunit ribosomal RNA", at positions 28 to 507 of the family's 1533-position model. The record is from RNAcentral.
GACGAACGCUGGCGGCGUGCUUAACACAUGCAAGUCGAACGAAGAGCGAUGGAAGCUUGCUUCUAUCAAUAUUAGUGGCUAACGGUGGAGGAACGCGUAAUCAACCGGCCGUUAAGAGGGGGACAACAGGUGGAAACGACUGCUAAUACCUCAUACGAUCCGACCUCGGCAUCGAGGAGGGAGGAAAGGGGGCCACUAUUUAUAAGCUAUCACUUAAGGAGGGGAUUGCGUCUGAUGAGCUAGGUGUAGGGGUAACGGCCCACAAAGGCAAUGAUCAGUAGCCGGUCUGAGAGGCUGCACGGCAAAAUUGGGCUUGAGACACGGCCCAGCAUACUACGGGGUGCAGACGGGGGGAACCUUACGCAAUGGAAGAAAGUCUGAAGGAGCCACGACGCGUGAGUGAUGACGGCAGUCGGGUUGUAAAGCUCAGUUAAUAGGGACGAAAGGUAUUCUUGAGAAUAGUUAGAAGAAUUGACGGUACCGGAAUAGAAAGCCACGGCUAACUACGUG